RNAcentral lists this ribosomal RNA (209 nucleotides) under uncultured bacterium. RNAcentral's name for it is "partial 16S ribosomal RNA". It matches the Rfam family "Bacterial small subunit ribosomal RNA", at positions 1293 to 1500 of the family's 1533-position model. The record is from RNAcentral.
UCGGAUUGUAGUCUGCAACCCGACUACAUGAAGCUGGAAUCGCUAGUAAUCGCGGAUCAGAAUGCCGCGGUGAAUACGUUCCCGGGUCUUGUACACACCGCCCGUCACACCAUGGGAGUCGGGAAUGCCCGAAGUCAGUGGCCCAACCGAAAGGGGGGGAGCUGCCGAAGGCAGGCCUGGUGACUGGGGUGAAGUCGUAACAAGGUACC